RNAcentral lists this ribosomal RNA (458 nucleotides) under uncultured bacterium. Its description in RNAcentral is "bacterial SSU rRNA". It matches the Rfam family "Bacterial small subunit ribosomal RNA", at positions 29 to 470 of the family's 1533-position model. The record is from RNAcentral.
AACGAACGCUGGCGGCGUGGGUAAGACAUGCAAGUCGAACGGGAACUUCAGCUGUAGCAAUACAGUUGAAGUUUUAGUGGCGAACGGGUGCGUAACACGUGGGCAAUCUGCCGAGAAGUGGGGGAUAGCUCGCCGAAAGGCGAAUUAAUACCGCAUAUGAUCAGCUAAGACAUCUUAGCGACAUCAAAGCCGGGGCGAACCUGGCGCUUUUGUAGGAGCCCGCCGGCCUAUCAGCUAGUUGGUGAGGUAACGGCUCACCAAGGCUAUGACGGGUAGCUGGUCUGAGAGGACGACCAGUCACACUGGAACUGAGACACGGUCCAGACACCUACGGGUGGCAGCAGUCGAGUAAUUUUCUCAAUGGGGCAACCCUGAAGGAGCGACGCCGCGUGGAGGAUGAAGGCUUUCGGUUGUAAACUCCUGUCAUUGAGACAAGUGCAUCGGUUAACUGCCGAUGC